CCUACGGGAGGCAGCAGUGAGGAAUAUUGGUCAAUGGACGAGAGUCUGAACCAGCCAAGUAGCGUGAAGGAUGACUGCCCUAUGGGUUGUAAACUUCUUUUAUAUGGGAAUAAAACGUUCCACGUGUGGGAUUUUGUAUGUACCAUAUGAAUAAGGAUCGGCUAACUCCGUGCCAGCAGCCGCGGUAAUACGGAGGAUCCGAGCGUUAUCCGGAUUUCUUGGGUUUAAAGGGAGCGUAGGUGGAUUGUUAAGUCAGUUGUGAAAGUUUGGGGCUCAACCGUAAAAUUGCAGUUGAAACUGGCAGUCUUGAGUACAGUAGAGGUGGGCGGAAUUCGUGGUGUAGCGGUGAAAUGCUUAGAUAUCACGAAGAACUCCGAUUGCGAAGGCAGCUCACUGGACUGAAACUGACACUGAGGCUCGAAAGUGUGGGUAUCAAACAGGAUUAGAUACCCGUGUAGUC
This 460-nucleotide ribosomal RNA is filed under the name uncultured bacterium. Its description in RNAcentral is "partial 16S ribosomal RNA". It matches the Rfam family "Bacterial small subunit ribosomal RNA", at positions 338 to 795 of the family's 1533-position model. The record is from RNAcentral.